AGUACUUAAGCUGAGGCUGAAAGGGUGGUGUGAUUUAGCCCAGAAGGCAACAGAAAAAAGGCAUUUUAAGCAGAGGGACUGGGACAAGCAAAGCGGCAGAGGCUGGAAGGAGGAGCAGCUCAAAGAGUUCCAGUUAUUGAGAAAGAAUCUCUGCAUCACCUGAGAAGUAGGCCAUGGGUUGCCUCUAUCUGGGGAUUUGGUUGAAACAAUGACUGGGCGGGUUCUUGACCCCUUCCAGAUCCUCCUGCCAAGUCCCACUCCUCUUCCACAAUGCUGCCCAGAAAUCACCUACCAGCUCUUGCCCCAGCUCUUGGCCCCCAUUACACAGGCUUCCCUGGUGGCUCAGACAGUAAAGAAUCUGCCUGCCAUGAAGGAGACCUGGGUUGGGAAGAUUCCCCUGGAGAGGGAAAUCGCAAUCCACUCCAGAAUUCUUGCCUGGAGAAUUCCAUGGACAGAGGAGUCUGGUGGGCUACAGUCUAUGGGGUCACAUAGAGCUGGACAUGGAUGAGCGACUAAGCACACACUUUACAGCUUCUUUGUCUUGCCUUUGAAAACCUCUCCCUCUCUGCAAGCCUCUGGAGCUCCUCUCUGCUCGCUGGAUGGAAUGCUGACAGAUUCAAGAAUCGUUCAAUAUGCAAAUCGUUCAAUAUGUAAAAUCUAUCAAUACUUGGUUGCAUUUUUGUUAUUCUACAGAAGAAAUAAUGACUCAAACACAAAUUAUAGAAGUUGUUACUUCAUGUUAAAUAAAUAACAGAUUCAAAUAUAGGAAGGGAUGCUACCUUUAUAACACAUUACACAUCAAUAAAGUGGGGGGAAAAAAGAAAAUUAUAUACUUUUAAAAAGAAAAUAAAAUGUAUUCAAUUACUUUUAUUAUUUCCCCUUUGGGGGGGGAAAAAAACACAACAGCUCAGUUAAUUUCACUUUCUGUGUUUGUUUCAUUUCCUCCUACAAUGUUCAGCAAGUUUUCUAUU
Molecule: long non-coding RNA, 971 nt
Organism: Dama dama (fallow deer)
Lineage: Eukaryota; Metazoa; Chordata; Mammalia; Artiodactyla; Cervidae
Exons: 3
Source: RefSeq, a predicted model, not a curated record